RNAcentral lists this ribosomal RNA (450 nucleotides) under uncultured bacterium. Its description in RNAcentral is "partial 16S ribosomal RNA". It matches the Rfam family "Bacterial small subunit ribosomal RNA", at positions 354 to 796 of the family's 1533-position model. The record is from RNAcentral.
GUGGGGAAUAUUCCGCAAUGGACGAAAGUCUGACGGAGCAACGCCGCGUGAGUGAUGAAGGUUUUCGGACUGUAAAGCUCUGUUGUUUAGGACGAAAGUGCCUGUUGCAAAUAGUUACAGGUAUUGACGGUACUGAACGAGGAAGCCACGGCUAACUACGUGCCAGCAGCCGCGGUAAUACGUAGGUGGCAAGCGUUGUCCGGAAUUAUUGGGCGUAAAGAGCAUGUAGGCGGGAAUCUAAGUCUGUUGUGAAAAUGCGGGGCUCAACCCCGUAUUGCGAUGGAAACUGGGUUUCUUGAGUGCAGGAGAGGAAAGGGGAAUUCCCAGUGUAGCGGUGAAAUGCGUAGAUAUUGGGAGGAACACCAGUGGCGAAGGCGCCUUUCUGGACUGUGUCUGACGCUGAGGCGCGAAAGUGUGGGGAGCAAACAGGAUUAGAAACCCCGGUAGUCC